Molecule: ribosomal RNA, 253 nt
Filed under: uncultured bacterium
Lineage: Bacteria
Description: partial 16S ribosomal RNA
Rfam family: Bacterial small subunit ribosomal RNA
Source: RNAcentral
UACAGAGGGUGCGAGCGUUGUCCGGAAUCACUGGGCGUAAAGGGCGCGUAGGCGGCCCGGUAAGGUUGCGGUGAAAGCCCGGGGCUCAACCCCGGGUCGGCCGUGGCAACUGCUGGGCUGGAGCACAGUAGAGGCGGGUGGAAUUCCGGGUGUAGCGGUGGAAUGCGUAGAGAUGCGGAGGAACACCGAUGGCGAAGGCAGCCCCCUGGGCUAACACUGACGCUGAGGCACGAAAGCGUGGGGAGCAAACAGG